RNAcentral lists this ribosomal RNA (2406 nucleotides) under Triticum aestivum (bread wheat). RNAcentral's name for it is "partial small subunit ribosomal RNA". Lineage: Eukaryota; Viridiplantae; Streptophyta; Magnoliopsida; Poales; Poaceae. The record is from RNAcentral.
AUGCCUCGAGCGCACGGUACCACGCGAGGAAAAAAGACCACCGCACCGCACCGCGCGUGGGGGUGCAGCGCACCACGCGAGCGAAAAAACCACCGCACCGUGCUCGACGUGCAGGCCCCGCACCCGUCUUUCUCCUCCAGCGAAUCGAGCGGGCAGCGAGCGACAGUGAAAGAAACGCUCCCAGCCCUAGCCCACCCCGCGACCCUCGUUCCUCAUGCGCCGCCCCCGACGCCCCCCGCCCGCGAUGGAGAAAUUGAGAGGAAAGAGGAGAGGAAGGUCGGGCACGACCUGGCGGUUGGUGGCGGCUCGAUCCGCUCCUGGAUCGGGAGAGGAGGAAGGGAGGUGGGGGGCCGGCCGUCUCUGUGCCUCCUCGCCGCCGAGCUGCGGCUGCCCCGUGCGCUCUCUCUCUCUCUCGAUCUCGAUCUGAGAGGAAACGAGGUAGCCACAGCCUCCUGCACCCCCUUCUCUCUCGCCGCUGCUGCUCCCCAACCACCGUGCUGUGAUGUUGCUUCCCCAAUUGGUCGCUGUCUCGUCUCCCCCGACCUCAAUACCGUCCUGGGCGGCGCCGGUACCGAGGCGCCACCUCUGCCUCCACCCCCACUGGGCAAGGAGCUCGAGAUAAGGAGAACUUUAACCUUGCGCCCACCUAUGGCAAUAUUGCCAUCUUUAUAUUCUCCCUCGCUCAUCAGCGGCAGCGAUGGUGGUGUCAUUGUCGGCCUUGCAGCAUGUGGCAUAAUCAUGUCCAUUGCCUACUCUGGGGCAGAUCUGAUGCAAGACUUCAAGUGCGGCUACCUCACCCUCUCUUCACCAUGUGCAGUGUUCAUCUCGCAGGUUCCAAGUUGGUUAAUGUUGAUUUUUGCUCAUGCACAACCCAUCAUAGGAAUUAGUAGGAUCAUCUUCGAUGGAUGUAAGGACUGCAACAGAUUCCUAAAAUCAUCUUUGUUGGUUUGGAUGAUUUUGCAGAUAAGGAUACCCGCGCUGCUGCUGUUGCGUUUGGUUAGGGAGGGGCUUCUUCGUCUGCUUUGCCGUGUGGUGGCUGUGUGGCUGCUUGUUCCUUCUUUGCUAGGUGAGGUCUGCUUUCGUUCUCUUGUUGGCUGGUUAUGCAUGGGCAUGGGGUCUGCCCCACCUGAGAUCUGUUUGGGCAGGGAUCGGCUUUGGUGGUGGCAGACGCUGGCAAGUCAUGGGGUUAGAGCAUAUGAAGCUGACAUGGCGUUUGAAACUUACGUGGUCAUUGAAGGGCUUCGCAAUAGUGCUUACAGAGUCUGGGAAAGAAAAUAUGGAGGAAUAAGCUACGAUAAUUUUGUUCUUAGAAAAUGCGAGGAUGAUGACAAUGAUUGUGCUACUUCUAUCUUCUUCAGCUCCUCAUGCUUCCCAAGGUCGCAGGUAUGCUUCUCCAUCCCCCUACCUUCUCAGUUCCCCCAUUUCUGUUGGAUAAUUCACCCCCUCGACUUCUAUACAAUUUUUUGUCUAUUCUGCACCAUACAACAACAGCCCAACAAGAAAUACAUGUACACGUAUUUUGCCGACUCAGUUGCUGUGAAGUGGUUGGCAAGAUCCCCGGAGAGCAAGAAGAGCACCACCAUCUGCUCCAACCCGCCGACUGGUAGGUGCGCCUGCUCAUCCGACCCUCUCGCACACCCUCUUUGUCAAGCCCCCGUGAUGAAUCAACGAGAGACCCCUCCGAGCACAAGGCUAAUUACCAAGUUGGUAGAUCUGUCCACCACAUCGCUAGCUGAGGCAAUGUUUGAGAAGCUCGGGCUACCUAAACCAGUCUAUUAUGUGCACCAACUUGAGCAGGGUCGAUAUAGAUCAGAGGUUGAAUUUCAUUGUACAAAAGAGCGCUUCCACGCUUCAGCACGUUGGACUAAACUGUCAAGUUGUAUAUGUGAGCAUGGGGAAGCAUCAUUGAAUCAUGCAGCCGAUAAGGUCAUCGGAUACAUGGAAACCAGAGAGAGGAAUGUUGUUGUUAACUACUAUCAGCUGCAGGAGCAGAAAAACAGCCACCUUUUGUUUCAUAUCGAUCAAACCAGUAUCUUUCCCAUUUUGGGGUACUCGAGCAAGAUAUGUAUAGUCUUUGGUCUUCUAUUGCUACCUUAUUUUCAGGUCAACUACACUGAAAGCAAACUAAAAGAUUACAUUGACCCAGAUUAUGAUAUGCUCAAGGUCAGGUUUGCAAAUAGUGAUCGACACACCCAUUGUCGCAUCAUGGUAGGAACCGACAAGAGAGCCACCGUAACAACCAACUGGUCUGAGUUCCGCCGCCUUGCAAAAAUCCAUGAAGGAGACAUCUGUGCCUUUCUUUUUCAAGGUCACCAUAGAGCAACACCUGGUUCUCAUCAUGCAUUGCCUUUAGAUGAACCAUUGACAGCAACAGAAGUCGUAUCUAGAUAUCAUCUAGCAUUCUAA